CCUACGGGCGGCAGCAGUGGGGAAUAUUGGGCAAUGGGCGCAAGCCUGACCCAGCAACGCCGCGUGAAGGAAGAAGGCCUUCGGGUUGUAAACUUCUUUUGUCAGGGACGAAGAAAGUGACGGUACCUGACGAAUAAGCCACGGCUAACUACGUGCCAGCAGCCGCGGUAAUACGUAGGUGGCAAGCGUUAUCCGGAUUUACUGGGUGUAAAGGGCGUGUAGGCGGGAGAGCAAGUCAGACGUGAAAGUCCAGGGCUCAACCCUGGGACUGCGUUUGAAACUGUUCUUCUUGAGUGAUGGAGAGGCAGGCGGAAUUCCGGGUGUAGCGGUGAAAUGCGUAGAUAUACGGAGGAACACCAGUGGCGAAGGCGGCCUGCUGGACAUUAACUGACGCUGAGGCGCGAAAGCGUGGGGAGCAAACAGGAUUAAAUACCCGUGUAGUC
Molecule: ribosomal RNA, 443 nt
Filed under: uncultured bacterium
Lineage: Bacteria
Description: partial 16S ribosomal RNA
Rfam family: Bacterial small subunit ribosomal RNA
Source: RNAcentral